UUGACCUUGGUACAUGUAGAAUAAAAUGGGACCGG
This 35-nucleotide ribosomal RNA is filed under the name Lecanora pulicaris. RNAcentral's name for it is "partial 28S ribosomal RNA". Lineage: Eukaryota; Fungi; Ascomycota; Lecanoromycetes; Lecanorales; Lecanoraceae. The record is from RNAcentral.